UUAAGUGACUAAGCGUACACGGUGGAUGCCUUGGCAGUCAGAGGCGAUGAAAGACGUAGUAACUUGCGAUAAGCCCAGAUUAGGUAGUAACAACCAUUUGAGUCUGGGAUUUCUGAAUGGGGAAACCCACGUGCAUAAGCACGUAUCCUUACCUGAAUACAUAGGGUAAGGAGGCGAACCGGGGGAACUGAAACAUCUAAGUACCCCGAGGAAAAGAAAUCAACCGAGAUUCCGAAAGUAGCGGCGAGCGAAAUUGGACUAGCCCUUAAGCUUUACACGCGUUAGACGAACGGUCUGGAAAGUCCGACGAUACAGGGUGAUAGUCCCGUAGUUGACGACGUGUGUUCAGUGAAAUCGAGUAGGGCGGGACACGUGAUAUCCUGUCUGAAUAUGGGGGGACCAUCCUCCAAGGCUAAAUACUACUGACUGACCGAUAGUGAACCAGUACCGUGAGGGAAAGGCGAAAAGAACCCCUGUGAGGGGAGUGAAAUAGAACCUGAAACCGUGUACGUACAAGCAGUAGGAGCAGGCUUUGUCCUGUGACUGCGUACCUUUUGUAUAAUGGGUCAGCGACUUAUAUUCAGUGGCAAGGUUAACCAUCUAGGGGAGCCGUAGGGAAACCGAGUCUUAACUGGGCGUUCAGUCUCUGGAUAUAGACCCGAAACCAGGUGAUCUAGCCAUGGGCAGGUUGAAGGUUGAGUAACAUCAACUGGAGGACCGAACCGACUAAUGUUGAAAAAUUAGCGGAUGACUUGUGGCUAGGGGUGAAAGGCCAAUCAAACCUGGAGAUAGCUGGUUCUCCCCGAAAGCUAUUUAGGUAGCGCCUCGGACGAAUACUACUGGGGGUAGAGCACUGUUAAGGCUAGGGGGUCAUCCCGACUUACCAACCCUUUGCAAACUCCGAAUACCAGUAAGUACUAUCCGGGAGACACACGGCGGGUGCUAACGUCCGUCGUGGAGAGGGAAACAACCCAGACCGCCAGCUAAGGUCCCAAAUUACUACUAAGUGGGAAACGAUGUGGGAAGGCUCAGACAGCCAGGAUGUUGGCUUAGAAGCAGCCAUCAUUUAAAGAAAGCGUAAUAGCUCACUGGUCGAGUCGGCCUGCGCGGAAGAUGUAACGGGGCUAAGUAGUAAACCGAAGCUGCGGCAAUGUGCUUUUGCACAUUGGGUAGGGGAGCGUUCUGUAAGCGGUUGAAGGUGUGUGGUAACGCAUGCUGGACGUAUCAGAAGUGCGAAUGCUGACAUGAGUAACGAUAAAGGGGGUGAAAAACCUCCUCGCCGGAAGACCAAGGGUUCCUGUCCAACGUUAAUCGGGGCAGGGUAAGUCGACCCCUAAGGCGAGGCCGAAAGGCGUAGUCGAUGGGAAACGGGUUAAUAUUCCCGUACUUCUUACAAUUGCGAUGGGGGGACGGAGAAGGCUAGGUGGGCCUGGCGACGGUUGUCCAGGUUCAAGUGCGUAGGCUUGAGAGUUAGGUAAAUCCGGCUCUCUUUAAGGCUGAGACACGACGUCGAGCCACUACGGUGGUGAAGUCAUUGAUGCCAUGCUUCCAGGAAAAGCCUCUAAGCUUCAGAUUGUAAGGAAUCGUACCCCAAACCGACACAGGUGGUCGGGUAGAGAAUACCAAGGCGCUUGAGAGAACUCGGGUGAAGGAACUAGGCAAAAUGGUACCGUAACUUCGGGAGAAGGUACGCUCUCGACGGUGAAGUCCCUCGCGGAUGGAGCUAUUGAGAGUCGCAGAUACCAGGUGGCUGCAACUGUUUAUUAAAAACACAGCACUGUGCAAAAUCGUAAGAUGACGUAUACGGUGUGACGCCUGCCCGGUGCCGGAAGGUUAAUUGAUGGGGUUAGACUUCGGUCGAAGCUCUUGAUCGAAGCCCCGGUAAACGGCGGCCGUAACUAUAACGGUCCUAAGGUAGCGAAAUUCCUUGUCGGGUAAGUUCCGACCUGCACGAAUGGCGUAAUGAUGGCCACGCUGUCUCCACCCGAGACUCAGUGAAAUUGAAAUCGCUGUGAAGAUGCAGUGUACCCGCGGCUAGACGGAAAGACCCCGUGAACCUUUACUACAGCUUGGCACUGAACAUUGACCCUACAUGUGUAGGAUAGGUGGGAGGCUUUGAAGCACGUACGCCAGUAUGUGUGGAGCCGUCCUUGAAAUACCACCCUUGUAGUGUUGAUGUUCUAACGUCGACCCCUUAUCGGGGUUGCGGACAGUGCCUGGUGGGUAGUUUGACUGGGGCGGUCUCCUCCCAAAGAGUAACGGAGGAGCACGAAGGUGGGCUAAUCACGGUUGGACAUCGUGAGGUUAGUGCAAUGGCAUAAGCCCGCUUGACUGCGAGAAUGACAAUUCGAGCAGGUGCGAAAGCAGGUCAUAGUGAUCCGGUGGUUCUGAAUGGAAGGGCCAUCGCUCAACGGAUAAAAGGUACUCCGGGGAUAACAGGCUGAUACCGCCCAAGAGUUCAUAUCGACGGCGGUGUUUGGCACCUCGAUGUCGGCUCAUCACAUCCUGGGGCUGAAGUCGGUCCCAAGGGUAUGGCUGUUCGCCAUUUAAAGUGGUACGCGAGCUGGGUUUAGAACGUCGUGAGACAGUUCGGUCCCUAUCUGCCGUGGGCGUUGGAAGAUUGAAGGGGGCUGCUCCUAGUACGAGAGGACCGGAGUGGACGAACCUCUGGUGUUCGGGUUGUGUCGCCAGACGCAUUGCCCGGUAGCUAAGUUCGGAAUCGAUAACCGCUGAAAGCAUCUAAGCGGGAAGCGAGCCCUGAGAUGAGUCUUCCCUGAUACUUUAAGUAUCCUAAAGGGUUGUCGGAGACUACGACGUUGAUAGGUUAGGUGUGUAAGUGCUGUGAGGCAUUGAGCUAACUGAUACUAAUUGCCCGUGAGGCUUAACC
Molecule: ribosomal RNA, 2887 nt
Filed under: Vibrio parahaemolyticus
Lineage: Bacteria; Pseudomonadati; Pseudomonadota; Gammaproteobacteria; Vibrionales; Vibrionaceae
Description: bacterial LSU rRNA
Rfam family: Bacterial large subunit ribosomal RNA
Source: RNAcentral